This 258-nucleotide ribosomal RNA is filed under the name uncultured bacterium. Its description in RNAcentral is "partial 16S ribosomal RNA". It matches the Rfam family "Bacterial small subunit ribosomal RNA", at positions 99 to 353 of the family's 1533-position model. The record is from RNAcentral.
CGGACGGGUGAGUAACGCGUGAGGAACCUGCCUUGGAGUGGGGAAUAACAGUUGGAAACGACUGCUAAUACCGCAUAAGCCCACGGGUCGGCAUCGACCAGAGGGAAAAGGAGCAAUCCGCUUUGAGAUGGCCUCGCGUCCGAUUAGCUAGUUGGUGAGGUAAUGGCCCACCAAGGCGACGAUCGGUAGCCGGACUGAGAGGUUGAACGGCCACAUUGGGACUGAGACACGGCCCAGACUCCUACGGGAGGCAGCAUG